GGGAGCUUCUGGGGGGGAAAAGCAUUCUAUGUACCCAUGUUUUGUUGAGAUCGAGCUGGCUGUGCUCUGUGUAUUUUUUUACUUAUUUUUGGGGAUAGAUUCGACUGUACUACUAUAAAUUACAUGCUAUUAUUGGAUGCCGAUAUCACUUGGUUUCCUUGCCACCA
Molecule: ribosomal RNA, 167 nt
Filed under: Thalassiosira antarctica
Lineage: Eukaryota; Bacillariophyta; Thalassiosirophyceae; Thalassiosirales; Thalassiosiraceae
Description: partial Eukaryotic large subunit ribosomal RNA
Source: RNAcentral